AAGGAUCGGACUCCCGCGUAUAUGCGGGACGAUGGAGGUGUUUUUAGCGUCCGCGCAUUUUUAGGGAAGGAUUGGGGAGCGGUUGGAUAUAAGUUUUUUCUAUUUUUCCCCUAAAUAAGGUUUUAGGGCAAUUUAGGGGGAGCUGCUGGAGCUGCUCUUGGAGCAACUCCAAAAGGCUGCUAAUCUUUACCCCAUACCUUCUUUAGGGAAAAAAGGAAAAAAAACUUCAAGAAUCCCCCUAAAACUUUUCUAAAAGAUCGGCGAUGCGAAAAACACCCUGGCCGCGGAUAUUUUCGAGCACUUCCCAAUCCGUC
RNAcentral lists this long non-coding RNA (314 nucleotides) under Setaria viridis. RNAcentral's name for it is "long non-coding RNA (SVIR_LNC002147)". Lineage: Eukaryota; Viridiplantae; Streptophyta; Magnoliopsida; Poales; Poaceae. The record is from RNAcentral.